CAGGCAGUUUUAACAUGAGAACAGUGAGAAACUUCUUCCACUGAGGCUUUCUUACUUGAAGGAGGGACACAGAAAUUUGAAGAUAGUCACUGAGGAGGGGAAGAGAUCCAUUCCUGUGUUACGUAUGAGCUUGCACAAAACUUCCUAGGCUGAAGGUUGCAACUUAAGGAUUUAGAGGUUCCUCUGCAAGGAAACCCUGCUGCAUUUGCUGGAAAAAAUGGACAGAAGUGUAAGGUG
Passer domesticus (house sparrow) is the source of this 237-nucleotide long non-coding RNA. RefSeq lists it as uncharacterized. Lineage: Eukaryota; Metazoa; Chordata; Aves; Passeriformes; Passeridae. The transcript has 3 exons. The record is from RefSeq and is a predicted model, not a curated record.